AUAUCCCUGAUAGCAGACUACUCCGAUCCGGAUCCGUUUUACCUCCGGCAGAUCCGCGCUACAGUCAGGUCUGUUUAGUGGAUCUGGUCCGGCUUCACUCCGGGUUCGGGUUAUGAUUGUGACUCACGUUCAGAUCCGUUUUACUGACGGUAAAUCCGCAUAACAGUCCGUCUCAUUUCACGCCUUCCAUAUGACUUCGGCACGGAGUCAGAUACCAGAUGUGAGUUCAGUGUCAGUUCAGUGUCGUUUUGCGGAUCCGGGCCGCAUCGGCGGAGCGGCACAGGAGCGGGAGAAAUUCAAACUCAGCGCGAGGACCAACUGACAUCUGCUGAAUCUGCGCUUCAGGGCUGCUGAGGGCUGGGGACCUGAGAUAAGGUGUAAUCAUUUACCCAUCAAAUCACCUAACAAGCAGGAUUUGGUAUCCGCAAAAUGGUUCGAGGUCCUCAGCCCUCGCCUCCCCCAGCACAGAGGAAAACUACCAAGGGCGGUACUCUCAUUAUAGGAGAUUCAAUUGUUAGACAUUUAAAAGUAUCUAAGAGUAAUGGCACAAUUUCAUGUCUUCCAGAUGCUUGCAUGCUGGUAGUCGGCAAGCGGCUCCCUGGGGCGCAUUGCCAAAGCAGGAACCCCGGCACCAUCGCCCUCCAUGUGGGGAUGAGCUUUCGGGAGCGACCGGCCCCAUUCCACAGAGACAGGCUUCUCUCUGUGAACAUCGAGGCGGUGCUACGCUGAGACUGACUGUCUCUACCCAGUCACACCAGCCAAGUAGGCUGCACUGUAGUGGUGUUAAGUGUCCAAGAAUGCUCUCAUCAGUGGAGGCACAGCUGGCUGCAAAAAACGUCUGUGUCUGCAUGUUUAUAUUAUGUGAAUUAAAAAUGGUUUUAUUAUUAAAAUAAUUGUA
This is a long non-coding RNA of Astyanax mexicanus (Mexican tetra), 898 nucleotides long. RefSeq lists it as uncharacterized. The record is from RefSeq and is a predicted model, not a curated record. The transcript is spliced from 5 exons. Lineage: Eukaryota; Metazoa; Chordata; Actinopteri; Characiformes; Acestrorhamphidae.